Molecule: ribosomal RNA, 944 nt
Filed under: Stachybotrys chartarum
Lineage: Eukaryota; Fungi; Ascomycota; Sordariomycetes; Hypocreales; Stachybotryaceae
Description: partial large subunit ribosomal RNA
Rfam family: Eukaryotic large subunit ribosomal RNA
Source: RNAcentral
AGUGAAGCGGCAACAGCUCAAAUUUGAAAUCUGGCCCCAGGCCCGAGUUGUAAUUUGCAGAGGAUGCUUUUGGCGCGGUGCCUUCCGAGUUCCCUGGAACGGGACGCCAUAGAGGGUGAGAGCCCCGUCUGGUUGGAUACCAAGCCUUUGUAAAGCUCCUUCGACGAGUCGAGUAGUUUGGGAAUGCUGCUCUAAAUGGGAGGUAUAUGUCUUCUAAAGCUAAAUACCGGCCAGAGACCGAUAGCGCACAAGUAGAGUGAUCGAAAGAUGAAAAGCACUUUGGAAAGAGAGUUAAACAGCACGUGAAAUUGUUAAAAGGGAAGCGUUUAUGACCAGACUUGGGCCGGUUAAUCAUCCAGCGUUCUCGCUGGUGCACUUUGCCGGUCCAGGCCAGCAUCAGUUCGCUGCGGGGGAUAAAGGCGUCGGGAAUGUGGCUCCUCUGGAGUGUUAUAGCCCUUCGCGCAAUACCCUGCGGUGGACUGAGGUUCGCGCAUCUGCAAGGAUGCUGGCGUAAUGGUCAUCAACGACCCGUCUUGAAACACGGACCAAGGAGUCGUCUUCGUAUGCGAGUGUUCGGGUGUAAAACCCCUACGCGUAAUGAAAGUGAACGCAGGUGAGAGCUUCGGCGCAUCAUCGACCGAUCCUGAUGUUCUCGGAUGGAUUUGAGUAAGAGCAUACGGGGCCGGACCCGAAAGAAGGUGAACUAUGCCUGUAUAGGGUGAAGCCAGAGGAAACUCUGGUGGAGGCUCGCAGCGGUUCUGACGUGCAAAUCGAUCGUCAAAUAUGGGCAUGGGGGCGAAAGACUAAUCGAACCUUCUAGUAGCUGGUUUCCGCCGAAGUUUCCCUCAGGAUAGCAGUGUUGAACUCAGUUUUAUGAGGUAAAGCGAAUGAUUAGGGACCAGGGGGCGCUAUUUAGCCUUCACCAUUCUCAACUUUAAUAUGUA